This 497-nucleotide ribosomal RNA is filed under the name uncultured bacterium. RNAcentral describes it as "partial 16S ribosomal RNA". It matches the Rfam family "Bacterial small subunit ribosomal RNA", at positions 28 to 507 of the family's 1533-position model. The record is from RNAcentral.
GAUGAACGCUGGCGGCGUGCCUAAUACAUGCAAGUCGAGCGAACAGACGAGGAGCUUGCUCCUCUGACGUUAGCGGCGGACGGGUGAGUAACACGUGGAUAACCUACCUAUAAGACUGGGAUAACUUCGGGAAACCGGAGCUAAUACCGGAUAAUAUAUUGAACCGCAUGGUUCAAUAGUGAAAGACGGUUUUGCUGUCACUUAUAGAUGGAUCCGCGCCACAUUAGCUAGUUGGUAAGGUAACGGCUUACCAAGGCGACGAUGCGUAGCCGACCUGAGAGGGUGAUCGGCCACACUGGAACUGAGACACGGUCCAGACUCCUACGGGAGGCAGCAGUAGGGAAUCUUCCGCAAUGGGCGAAAGCCUGACGGAGCAACGCCGCGUGAGUGAUGAAGGUCUUCGGAUCGUAAAACUCUGUUAUUAGGGAAGAACAAAUGUGUAAGUAACUAUGCACGUCUUGACGGUACCUAAUCAGAAAGCCGCGGCUAACUACGUG